UCACUUACCUGGACGAGGUCAACUCGUGAUCUAGAAGACGAGUGGCCUAGGCUAGUGACUUCCAUUGCACUAAGGUUAAGUGUGCUAUGCCUAAGGUCUUUAUAGAUCCUGUGUUAGUAUUUGUGGCUGAGGGGAUCUGUGUUCGCGCGGUCCCUAC
Arabis alpina (gray rockcress) is the source of this 157-nucleotide small nuclear RNA. It matches the Rfam family "U1 spliceosomal RNA". Rfam says of the family: U1 is a small nuclear RNA (snRNA) component of the spliceosome (involved in pre-mRNA splicing). Lineage: Eukaryota; Viridiplantae; Streptophyta; Magnoliopsida; Brassicales; Brassicaceae. The record is from Rfam.